GGCAACCCUGACGGAGCAACGCCGCGUGGGGGAGGAAUGUCUGUGGAUUGUAAACCCCUUUUCUCAGGGAAGAAGUUCUGACGGUACCUGAGGAAUCAGCAUCGGCUAACUCCGUGCCAGCAGCCGCGGUAAUACGGAGGAUGCAAGCGUUAUCCGGAAUUAUUGGGCGUAAAGCGUCCGUAGGUGGUUCAUCAAGUCAGCUGUUAAAGAGCGGAGCUCAACUCCGUCGGAGCGGUUGAAACUGAUGAACUAGAGUACGGUAGGGGUAGAGGGAAUUCCCAGUGUAGCGGUGAAAUGCGUAGAUAUUGGGAAGAACACCAGUGGCGAAGGCGCUCUACUGGGCCGUAACUGACGCUGAGGGACGAAAGCUAGGGGAGCG
Molecule: ribosomal RNA, 379 nt
Filed under: uncultured cyanobacterium
Lineage: Bacteria; Bacillati; Cyanobacteriota
Description: bacterial SSU rRNA
Rfam family: Bacterial small subunit ribosomal RNA
Source: RNAcentral